UACCCCACUAUGCUUAGCCAUAAAAAGACACCCUAAAAACAAUAGUGUCCGCCAGAGAACUACAAGCGAAAAGCUUAAAACUCAAAAGACUUGGCGGUGUCCCACACUCAACUUAGAGGAGCCUGUCCUAUAAUCGAUAAUCCACGCUAUACCUUACCAUCUUUUGCUCCUCCCCGUCUAUAUACCACCGUCACCAACCCACCCCAUGAGGGACCAAUAGUGAGUACAACAGCCCUCGCUAAAACGUCAGGUCAAGGUGUAGCCAAUAAGAUGGUAGAGAUGGGCUACAUUUUUUAACUUAAAACACACGACAAGACACCAUGAAACUGGUGCCCAAAGGUGGAUUUAACAGUAAAACGGGCAAGAAAGCCCACUUUAAACCUGCCCUGGGACACGCACACACCG
This 405-nucleotide ribosomal RNA is filed under the name Enyalioides laticeps. RNAcentral describes it as "partial 12S ribosomal RNA". It matches the Rfam family "Bacterial small subunit ribosomal RNA", at positions 783 to 1392 of the family's 1533-position model. Lineage: Eukaryota; Metazoa; Chordata; Lepidosauria; Squamata; Hoplocercidae. The record is from RNAcentral.